RNAcentral lists this non-coding RNA (39 nucleotides) under Trypanosoma brucei brucei. The record is from RNAcentral. Lineage: Eukaryota; Euglenozoa; Kinetoplastea; Trypanosomatida; Trypanosomatidae.
AUACUGGAUAUAGUGUAGUAAAGCAUAGAAGUUAAUUAU